Molecule: non-coding RNA, 965 nt
Organism: Pongo abelii (Sumatran orangutan)
Lineage: Eukaryota; Metazoa; Chordata; Mammalia; Primates; Hominidae
Source: Rfam
AAACAAAUAGGUUUGGUCCUAGCCUUUCUAUUAGCUCUUAGUGAGGUUACACAUGCAAGCAUCCCCGCCCCAGUGAGUCGCCCUCCAAGUCACUCUGACUAAGAGGAGCAAGCAUCAAGCACGCAACAGCGCAGCUCAAGACGCUCAGCCUAGCCACACCCCCACGGGAGACAGCAGUGAUAAGUCUUUAGCAAUAAACGAAAGUUCAACUAAGCUACACUAACCCCAGGGUUGGUCAACUUCGUGCCAGCCACCGCGGUCACACGAUUAGCCCAAGUUAAUAGAGAUCGGCGUAGAGAGUGUUUUAGAUUCUUUUUCUCCCCAAUAAAGCUAAAAUUUACCUGAGUUGUAGAAAACUUAAGCUAAUACAAAAUAAACUACGAAAGUGGCUUUAAUAUAUCUGAACACACAAUAGCUAAGGCCCAAACUGGGAUUAGAUACCCCACUAUGCUUAGCCCUAAACUUUAACAGUUAAAUCAACAAAACUGCUCGCCAGAACACUACGAGCCACAGCUUAAAACUCAAAGGACCUGGCGGUGCUUCAUAUCCCUCUAGAGGAGCCUGUUCUGUAAUCGAUAAACCCCGAUCAACCUCACCACCCCUUGCUCAGCCUAUAUACCGCCAUCUUCAGCAAACCCUGAUGAAGGCCACGAAGUAAGCGCAAGCAUCCACAUAAAGACGUUAGGUCAAGGUGUAGCCCAUGGAGUGGCAAGAAAUGGGCUACAUUUUCUACUUCAGAAAACUACGAUAGCCCUCAUGAAACCUGAGGGUCGAAGGUGGAUUUAGCAGUAAACUAAGAGUAGAGUGCUUAGUUGAACAGGGCCCUGAAGCGCGUACACACCGCCCGUCACCCUCUUCAAGUAUAUUUCAGGGACUACCUAACUAAAACCCCCACGCAUCUAUAUAGAGGAGGCAAGUCGUAACAUGGUAAGCGUACUGGAAAGUGCGCUUGGACGAACCAGAGG